Molecule: long non-coding RNA, 1341 nt
Organism: Phacochoerus africanus (Common warthog)
Lineage: Eukaryota; Metazoa; Chordata; Mammalia; Artiodactyla; Suidae
Exons: 3
Source: RefSeq, a predicted model, not a curated record
CAACACAUGCAGGAAUGACAUGGAAACUCUUGGUCCAGUCCUGGGAAACUGAUGCUCUCUUUCCUUUCACAAGCCAGAGGGAUCUGGCAGUGUUUUCUCAGACUUCUCUCUUGUACUCUUGGAAUCUUGGUGCCCCCUGCGAUCUAAGGAGCAAGGAUUACUGAGGAGGAAGUAUGACAUAGUGCAGUGGUUCGCAAAGUGUGGUCCCUGGACCAGCAGCAUCAGCGUCUCUUGGGAACUUAGCACAAGUGCAAAUUCUCCCACCCACACAAUAGACCUACUGAAUCAGAGAUCCUGGGGUGAGGGCCAGCCAUCAGUGUUUUCACCAGCCUUCCUGGAGAUUCUGAUCCAGGAGAGGAGAACUACUGAUUACAAGCACAGACGGAUCAUGAACAGAACAUUGCUUUGAUUGCCAGCUCUGCCACUUAUCUCUUGGGAUCCUAAUCAGAGUUCUGCCUCCAGGAGGCGUCUUUGGCCACUCCAGUCCUCAGAGAUCGCUCUACUCUGACAUCUUCUAGGCUUUGCAAUAACGGUCACUCCUGGAGUCAUUUCAAGCAACAAUGUCUAAACUUAUGGAAAACGACUGCCUGAAGUCACCAAGAGGACAAAGUCAGGAUGAAGACCAGGCCAGCUUACAGCGUCCAGUGGGGCCCUGUUGUCUGUGUGAGCCCAGCUAACUGAAGAUGAAUAGACAAUUUUCCGUAAUGAUACCUUCACUGGUAUUUACCUCUCCUGUCAGCUUAACAAUCCACUCCCUGAAUAAGCAGGACCAUUUUCAGAAGAGGUUGAAAGAGAAGGGCUAGGGGGGCUUGGGGGAACUCUGUCCUGGUCUUACUUUCUUCUUGGGCAUCUUGGUAUUUGCCAGUUAGCCAUCCCUAGGUAGACCUAGCCAUCAGGUAGGCAUGCAAAUCCAUAUAUCAGCUUCCAGAUUUAUACAUCAAAGUCAAAGAGGUAGCUACAUGGCCAAUAGGCAUGACAGGAUCCUAUCAUUAAAUAAGUACCUAUAACAGUGGUUUUUAACCUUGGUUGAGCAGAACUUUAAAAACCCAAGAAUUUCCAUUUGAAACCACUAAAAUAAGAACCUCUGAGGGUGGACACAGACACUGGCAUUUUUACCUUUUUUUUUUUUAAUGAGAUACACUUUAAAUACCUCUGAAAUGUAUACAUCUUAACUACACAUCUUAAUGUGUUUUGAUGAAUUUAUACACUUAUGCAACUAACACCCCAUCAAGAUAUGCAGCAUUUCCACCACCUCUGAAAGUUCCUACUUGCCGCUUCCUAAUCAAUCCCCAGAGCUCAAGAUGCAAACAUUGUUCUGAUUUUUUUUUUUCUUUUUAGGGC